This is a long non-coding RNA of Panonychus citri (citrus red mite), 2001 nucleotides long. RefSeq lists it as uncharacterized. The transcript is spliced from 4 exons. Lineage: Eukaryota; Metazoa; Arthropoda; Arachnida; Trombidiformes; Tetranychidae. The record is from RefSeq and is a predicted model, not a curated record.
UUAUUUUCGGUCAAAAUUUUGAUUCUAUUUACAUUUAAUUUAAUUUAUCUAAAAGUUGUUCUAUUAAUUGUUGACCUUGUUUUAUAAAUUAACAAUUAAUCAUUUGUAGUGUCACCUGUAGAAUGAAUCUAUUGAUGGUCAUUCGUUUUACUUUAUCAAUUGAAUUGAUUGAUCUUCUUCCUCUUCUUGUUUGGAUAAAUACAUUUACAUAUGGACGUUGAUGGUAAUGUUAUUAUGUUGAAUUUUAAUUAUCCAAAAGGACAUUACCUUGUUAAUUGGUUUCAAAUGAAAGCCAAAAGUUAAGGUUGGUAUCAAUACGUUUUCACUUAUUGGAUUAAAGAGAAACUCUUUUGAUGAUCACUUUUAAUGAGAUAAUGGUUUUUGAUCGCAAUUAGAGGAUAUGUACUGAAGGACCUUUCAUUUCCGUAUGAUGCCCAGAUAAUGAUGAUUGGUAAAGAUGUUUAGGCUUGGCAAUCGAAAGUAUUAUAAUGAGAGAGAGAGGGAGGGAGAGAGAAAUACAAAAAAGUUCAGUUUUCAUUGAAUCAGGAAGAGCUGAUGUAAUGGCAAUGAGAUCGUUUUUAUCGGUUUUUUUUUGUUCUGAUGAUGGUAUUAGAAGGCAGAUCAAGUGUAUGAUAAACGAUUGUAUGAUCUAUCAUUCAUAGAAAUUCAAUUACACUAGAUUGUAUUCACCACGAACACUUAAUGAAAAUGAUGCAACUACUUAGGAAUCACUUACCAGCCACACAAUAGGAAGAGUUAAAUAGAAACUCAAAUAAUUAUAAUAAUAGCUAAUAAUUGCUGUUGCAAAUCCAAGGCGUACUCACAAUACUCUACACACUUAUCGGAAUUAAAUCAUAAAUUGUGAAGAAAAAGCUUCUAUCCCAAUACAAACAUCGGACAUAACCAAUUAUAAGAUUAAUCAAGAAAAGUUAAUCAUUAUUAACAUAAUUACGAAUAAUUAUGUCAGUUCUCUCUCUCUCUCUCUCUCUCUCUCUCUCUGGAUAAAGAGUAUGAGACCUACAAUGAAUUUGAAUUGACCACUACCACCAAUCAGGCGUUGACAUAAUAUAAUCAUAAAUCAAAUUUGAUAAUUAUACCAACUGAUAAAUGCGAGGCAAGGUAAAAAAAUAUCAACACAAUUGUUUAUGAGGAGAGGGAGACCAGCAAAUUGUAAACAGAAGCCAAUUUAUUGUUGUUGACCAGGAACAUUAUGAUUAACACCAAUGAUUAGCACCAAGGAUUACGGAUUAUUGAAGGUACUUUUGGAAACAUGGAAUCGUGUAAAUUAAUCAUGAUGAUGAUUUAAUUAUAUUGUAAUAAUCGAUUGGUGAAGAUGUUUCAAUAAGAAUUGCGAUGAGGAUGAGGAUGAGGAUGAUAAUUAACUGAUGAUGUACUUACAUUAAUCGGGUUGAUUGUUAAUUGAUAUGAAAUGAGCGUAAAAGUGACGAUCAAAUUAAUUAUUUUUACCGAUUCAAUUGCUGUUUAAACCAGAAGAAUCAAAUUGGCAUCGCUUCCUUUAAAAUCACAGUUGGAGAUAAAUUGUUAAUCAAUUUGAAAGGAAUCACGGUUCGAUAAUCAAAUCAAUGUUUUAAACGAUAAUCGAUAAACCAAAUCGCAGAAAAUUUUGUCGUAAUUGUUAAAACAAAAGAGAGAUGAUCAUUAGAUUAAUCAUAUUAAUCAUCUUUUUCAUUUGUAUCAAUUUAAAUCUCAAACCAUUUGAUUGUCGACUUUUGGACAAGUUUUGUUUUGGACAAAUUGACCAUUGAAUUUGACCGAAUAUUAAUGAUCUUCGUAGGUCAAUUCGAGGAGAAAUUCGAAGAGUUUUAUUUGUCCGUUCGUUCAAAACAAACAUUGGAACGAUUGAAAAGUAACAAUAUUAAUCUUGAGAAUUGAUUGAAUUUCUUGCUGAUUAGAAGUAAAUUAAUACGAUGAUUAAUUGCUUCCAAAUCCAAUGAAAGGUUAAUCCAAGAUUAAUUAUGAAAUAAACUCUAUAACCCUGAA